GACGUAGGGGGCGAGCGUUGUCCGGAUUCAUUGGGCGUAAAGAGCGUGUAGGCGGUCCGGUAAGUCCGCUGUGAAAGUCGGGGGCUCAACCCUCGGAUGCCGGUGGAUACUGUCGGGCUUGAGUACGGAAGAGGCGAGUGGAAUUCCCGGUGUAGCGGUGAAAUGCGCAGAUAUCGGGAGGAACACCUAUGGCGAAGGCAGCUCGCUGGGACGUUACUGACGCUGAGACGCGAAAGCGUGGGGAGCAAACAGG
Molecule: ribosomal RNA, 253 nt
Filed under: uncultured bacterium
Lineage: Bacteria
Description: partial 16S ribosomal RNA
Rfam family: Bacterial small subunit ribosomal RNA
Source: RNAcentral